RNAcentral lists this ribosomal RNA (593 nucleotides) under uncultured bacterium. RNAcentral describes it as "partial 16S ribosomal RNA". It matches the Rfam family "Bacterial small subunit ribosomal RNA", at positions 355 to 1363 of the family's 1533-position model. The record is from RNAcentral.
UGGGGAAUUUUGGACAAUGGGGGAAACCCUGAUCCAGCCAUCCCGCGUGUGCGAUGAAGGCCUUCGGGUUGUAAAGCACUUUUGGCAGGAAAGAAACGUCGCGGGUUAAGUACCCCGCGAAACUGACGGUACCUGCAGAAUAAGCACCGGCUAACUACGUGCCAGCAGCCGCGGUAAUACGUAGGGUGCAAGCGUUAAUUGGAAUUACUGGGUGUAAAGCGUGCGCAGGCGGUUCGGAAAGAAAGAUGUGAAAUCCCAGAGCUUAACUUUGGAACUGCAUUUUUAACUACCGGGCUAGAGUGUGUCAGAGGGAGGUGGAAUUCCGCGUGUAGCAGUGAAAUGCGUAGAUAUGCGGAGGAACACCGAUGGCGAAGGCAGCCUCCUGGGAUAACACUGACGCUCAUGCACGAAAGCGUGGGGAGCAAACAGGAUUAGAUACCCUGGUAGUCCACGCCCCUAAAACGAUGUCAACUAGCUGUUGGGGGCCUUCGGGCCUUGGUAGCGCAGCUAACGCGUGAAGUUGACCGCCUGGGGGAGUACGGUCGCAAGAUUAAAACUCAAAGGAAUUGACGGGGGUCAUAGCUGUUUUCCUG